GGGUCCGUGGCCUAGUCAGGAUAAGGCGUUGGACUUCUAAUCCAACGAUCCGGGGUUCGAAUCCCCGCGGAUCCGCCA
RNAcentral lists this transfer RNA (78 nucleotides) under Candidatus Bathyarchaeota archaeon. RNAcentral's name for it is "tRNA-Arg". It matches the Rfam family "tRNA". From Rfam's summary of the family: Transfer RNA (tRNA) molecules are approximately 80 nucleotides in length. Their secondary structure includes four short double-helical elements and three loops (D, anti-codon, and T loops). Further hydrogen bonds mediate the characteristic L-shaped molecular structure. tRNAs have two regions of fundamental functional importance: the anti-codon, which is responsible for specific mRNA codon recognition, and the 3' end, to which the tRNAs corresponding amino acid is attached (by aminoacyl-tRNA synthetases). tRNAs cope with the degeneracy of the genetic code in two manners: having more than one tRNA (with a specific anti-codon) for a particular amino acid; and 'wobble' base-pairing, i.e. permitting non-standard base-pairing at the 3rd anti-codon position. RNAcentral also lists the same sequence under 1 other name. Lineage: Archaea; Thermoproteati; Candidatus Bathyarchaeota. The record is from RNAcentral.